Molecule: long non-coding RNA, 1271 nt
Filed under: Micromonas pusilla
Lineage: Eukaryota; Viridiplantae; Chlorophyta; Mamiellophyceae; Mamiellales; Mamiellaceae
Description: long non-coding RNA (MPUS_LNC000084)
Source: RNAcentral
UUGUGUGUCAUCAUUCUCAUCUUCUAAAUCAUCUCGUUCUAUACUCUCCUUCCUCAUCAGCAUCCUGCGUUGGGUAAAGAAUUUCGUCGUCCUCUUCGUCUGGGUUUGUUCCUGGCUCUCCUGGAUACUUUUUCCGCUGCAACUGGGUUUUGAGGGAGGAAACAAGGUUUUUGGGUCCGUCCCCGCCACCGAUAGUUUAACUUUACACGGGCGCUCUUCGCCGGCCGUCAGCUCGACAACCGCCCACACACGCCGCGCGGAGGCGGCGCCCGAUAGUGUGCAACACCCACCCCUUCGCCAAGGGGCGUGUCAAUUUCUUUUUUUUAGGAGGAUUGAGUCCGUCCCCGCCACCGCUGCGCUGCGGGGAUUGGGUCCGUCCCUUGUUGCGCCUUGCAGGUGGCAAGGCGACUUAACUGUGCCGCUACCGAUAGCGGCGACUUCUUGCGCCUUGCUGCAAGGCGACUUAAUUGCGCCGCUACCGAUAGCGGCGACUUCUUGCGCCUCACUGCAAGGCGACUUAAUUAAUUGCGCCGCUACCGAUAGCGGCGACUUCUUGCGCCAAGGCUGCAAGGCGACUUAAUUGCGCCGCUACCGAUAGCGGCGACUUCUUGCGCCUUGCUGCAAGGCGACUUAAUUAAUUGCGCCGCUACCGAUAGCGGCGACUUCUUGCGCCUUGCUGCAAGGCGACUUAAUUGCGCCGCUACCGAUAGCGGCGACUUCUUGCGCCUCACUGCAAGGCGACUUAAUUAAUUGCGCCGCUACCGAUAGCGGCGACUUCUUGCGCCUUGCUGCAAGGCGACUUAAUUGCGCCGCUACCGAUAGCGGCGACUUCUUGCGCCUCACUGCAAGGCGACUUAAUUAAUUGCGCCGCUACCGAUAGCGGCGACUUCUUGCGCCAAGGCUGCAAGGCGACUUAAUUGCGCCGCUACCGAUAGCGGCGACUUCUUGCGCCUUGCUGCAAGGCGACUUAAUUAAUUGCGCCGCUACCGAUAGCGGCGACUUCUUGCGCCUUGCUGCAAGGCGACUUAAUUAAUUGCGCCGCUACCGAUAGCGGCGACUUCUUGCGCCUCACUGCAAGGCGACUUAAUUGCGCCGCUAUCGGUAGCGGCGACUUCUUGCGCCUCACUGCAAGGCGACUUAAUUGCGCCGCUACCGAUAGCGGCGACUUCUUGCGCCUUGCAGGUGGCAAGGCGACUUUUGACUGCGCCCGGCGGAGUGAUCGGCGACGCACCUGGAAGAGUUCGCGGGGACCUUUCGCAGGAACCUUUCGC